GCCAGUGUGGCGUAGUGGUUUGAGUGCUGGACUGUGACUCUGGAGACCAGGGUUCGAAUCCCAACUUGGCCA
This 72-nucleotide transfer RNA is filed under the name Phrynosoma platyrhinos (Desert horned lizard). RNAcentral describes it as "tRNA-OTHER". The record is from RNAcentral. Lineage: Eukaryota; Metazoa; Chordata; Lepidosauria; Squamata; Phrynosomatidae.